This 1071-nucleotide ribosomal RNA is filed under the name Triticum aestivum (bread wheat). Its description in RNAcentral is "partial small subunit ribosomal RNA". The record is from RNAcentral. Lineage: Eukaryota; Viridiplantae; Streptophyta; Magnoliopsida; Poales; Poaceae.
AUGAUCCUGGCACCUGAAUUAAGUAAAUCGAUGAGUAGAAGUUUCUUCUUUUGUUCUAUAAAGUACCCGCGCAGGCAAGAGCAGCAGCAUUCUUACGCGCUGUUGUGCAGGGAUCAGUGGAAGGCCAAGUUCUCCAAGUGCGCUUUCAGGCAGCAGAAACUCUCAUACCUGGGGCAUGUCAUGAGCGAGCAGGGUGUCGCUACUGAGCCAACGAAGAUCAAAGCUGUGGCACAAUGGUCAGCACCAACCAGCGUCAAGGAGGUCCGUAGUUUCCUGGGGAUGGCAGGUUACUAUCGCCGAUUCGUCAAGAAUUUCGGAAUCAUAGCUCGACCACUGUUUAACCUUCUCAAGAAACGUGUGCCCUUCAUAUGGACCACGGCAACAGAGACGGCAUUCCAAGUCCUCAAGCAACAGUUGAUCGAAGCAACGGUGCUUGCCCUACCAGACUUCUCCAAGACCUUCAUUGUCGAGACAGACGCCAGCGACAAAGGGAUUGGAGCGGUUCUCCAGCAAGGUGGUCAUCCGAUUGCAUAUAUGAGCAAAGCACUGAGCCCAUGGUACCAAGGCCUCUCAACCUAUGAAAAGGAGUACCUGGCAGUAAUUGUUGCAGUGGACCAGUGGCGACCAUAUCUCCAGCAUGAUGAAUUCAUCAUCUCAAUGGAUCAACGCAGCCUGAUUCAUCUAAACGAGCAGCGCCUCACUACCCCAUGGCAGCAGAAGGCUUUUACAAAACUGUUGGGGAUGUGGUUCUCGAUUCGUUACAAGAAGGGGAGUGACAACACUGCAGUUGAUGCACUGUCGCGGGCCAACACCUGUGAGCUACACACAGUCAGCUCAUGUCAGCCUGCCUGGCUUGAGGACGUCAUCACCAGCUAUGACAGCAUUCCUCAAGCACAGCGCCUUCUCGAGCAGCUUGCCAUCCACGAGGAUCCUAAGGGUCGGAUCACUUUGAAGCAAGGGCUCCUGCGUUUUCGGGAUAGAAUAUGGCUCGGAGGAUCGACAGAGAUGCAACAUCGCAUCAUUUCAGCCUUCCACGAUAGUGCCAUGGGGGGCACUCAGGUUUCCCGGUGA